AGUGAACGCUGGCGGUAGGCCUAACACAUGCAAGUCGAACGGCAGCACAGUAAGAGCUUGCUCUUACGGGUGGCGAGUGGCGGACGGGUGCGGAAAACAUCGGAAUUUACUUUUUCGUGGGGGAUAACGUAGGGAAACUUACGCCAAUACCGCAUACGACCUACGGGUGAAAGCAGGGGAUCUUCGGACCUUGCGCGAUUGAAUGAGCCGAUGUCGGAUUAGCUAGUUGGCGGGGUAAAGGCCCACCAAGGCGACGAUCCGUAGCUGGUCUGAGAGGAUGAUCAGCCACACUGGAACUGAGACACGGUCCAGACUCCUACGGGAGGCAGCAGUGGGGAAUAUUGGACAAAGGGCGCAAGCCUGAUCCAGCCAUACCGCGUGGGUGAAGAAGGCCUUCGGGUUGUAAAGCCCUUUUGUUGGGAAAGAAAAGCAGCAGGUUAAUACCCCGCUGUUCUGACGGUACCCAAAGAAUAAGCACCGGCUAACUUCGUG
RNAcentral lists this ribosomal RNA (492 nucleotides) under uncultured bacterium. RNAcentral's name for it is "partial 16S ribosomal RNA". It matches the Rfam family "Bacterial small subunit ribosomal RNA", at positions 29 to 507 of the family's 1533-position model. The record is from RNAcentral.